CGCGGCCUAUCAGCUUGUUGGUGGGGUAACGGCCUACCAAGGCUUCGACGGGUAGCUGGUCUGAGAGGACGAUCAGCCGGAUUGGGACUGAGAUACGGCCCAGACUCCUACGGGGGGCAGCAAUUAGGAAUCUUGCACAAUGGGGGCAACCCUGAUGCAGCGACGUCGCGUGGAGGAUGAAAUCUUUCGGGAUGUAAACUCCUUUUCUCAGGGAAGAAAAAAAUGACGGUACCUGAGGAAUAAGCCCCGGCCAACUACGUGCCAGCAGCCGCGGUAACACGUAGGGGGCAAGCGUUGUCCGGAUUUAUUGGGCGUAAAGAGCUCGUAGGUGGUUCGGUAAGUCAGGUGUGAAACCUCCAGGCUCAACCUGGAGACGCCACUUGAUACUGCUGUGACUGGAGUCCGGUAGGGGAGCGUGGAAUUCCUGGUGUAGCGGUGAAAUGCGCAGAUAUCAGGAGGAACACCAGCGGCGAAGGCGGCGCUCUGGGCCGGUACUGACACUGAGGAGCGAAAGCGUGGGCAGCAAACAGGAUUAGAUACCCCGGUAGUCCACGCCGUAAACGUUGGGCACUAGGUGUGGGUCACAACCAACGUGAUCUGUGCCGUAGCUAACGCAUUAAGUGCCCCGCCUGGGGAGUACGG
Molecule: ribosomal RNA, 642 nt
Filed under: uncultured bacterium
Lineage: Bacteria
Description: bacterial SSU rRNA
Rfam family: Bacterial small subunit ribosomal RNA
Source: RNAcentral